Camelina sativa (false flax) is the source of this 1208-nucleotide non-coding RNA. The record is from RefSeq and is a predicted model, not a curated record. Lineage: Eukaryota; Viridiplantae; Streptophyta; Magnoliopsida; Brassicales; Brassicaceae.
AUUUCAACUAUUAAUUUCGAAGAAAAAGCGCUCGACGGAAAACCCUAGUGCUCUCAACUCAGCCGCCGGAGGAAAAUUUGCAGAUCUGGGGCUGGAAUGCGGUGGCUUCCUUAGCACCGGUUCUAGCCUCCCCCUUCUUUGUUUAGAUUUCGUCCUUGUUCUCUUUUUUCUAGUUUGUUUUGGUGUUGUUUGGAGGCUCUUCUUGUCGAAUCGGAUCGGAUUUUGGAAGUGUCGGAGGUCGUCAUAGCCUUUCUCUUUCGCCGGUGACCGGUGUUUCUCUAAACCAGAGGAUAUCCGGUUCUUGAUGUGGGGGUUGGGGUUUUACAGCAUCUUUUGGCCAAAGCGUGGGGAUCACAGAAAUGGUGCAACUGAGGACGGGAAGAUGGUUGUUUCCAUGGCGGAAAGGAGUGUCACAAACAUAGCUGCUAGCUAACCUAGCUCUACCAAUCCAUAAAUGAGCAACCUCCAAGAAGAAGAUGAACCCCUCCAGGAUAAAGAGACGUGUUAGAACCAGUUGCUACAACACAUGAAGCAACCAGUUCACUUGACUAGUAUUGUACUUGAUGAGCUAUCUAGUAGGAUUGAUGGGUGGAGGACUGGGUGAAAUCCAAGGCUCUUGAGGACAUGGAAGAUAAACAACAGAAGGAGGCAAGUUGUUUGUUCUAUUGACUGGUGGAAGACUGCUUGCAGAUCAAACUCAAAGGCCAAGGUUUUAAACAGCUGAUUCAAAAGGAGUUAAUGAGUAUGAGGAAUCAGAACUAGAAGGAUAAUGAUUUAAGUCGUCAAGUGAAGAGCCCAGAUGUUUGUUCCGUUGACUGGAGGAGGCUGCUUGCUGAGCAAACUCGAAGGCCAAGAUUGUACAUGCUGAGCUAUUGAAAUUGAUGGAUGGAGGAGAAGAAACAGCAUCUCUGGUGACAAAGCUAGAUGGUGAUUCAAGAGGUGGUCCUGCUUUGAGUCUCAAGGAGGUUAUUGCCAAACUGGAAGGGGUUGCUGUCAUUCAGUACUAUUGCAGGCGACAGUUGAUGAGUCCCUCUAUAAUCUUGCUGGAGAGCUAAUGAUGAUUCAAGAGGUGGUGCUGCUCUGAGUCCAAGGAGGUUAUUCCCAAACUGGAAGGGGUUGCUGUCAUCCAGUACUGUGCAUUACGGCUAUUGCAGGUUAUUUUAGCUGUCGCGUGUAAAAUUUGCAUCUAAUACUCUUGUCGUGUCAAU